RNAcentral lists this ribosomal RNA (284 nucleotides) under uncultured bacterium. RNAcentral's name for it is "partial 16S ribosomal RNA". It matches the Rfam family "Bacterial small subunit ribosomal RNA", at positions 333 to 609 of the family's 1533-position model. The record is from RNAcentral.
CUAGCCCUACGGGGGGCAGCAGUAGGGAAUUUUCGUCAAUGGGCGCAAGCCUGAACGAGCAAUGCCGCGUGAACGAGGAAGGUCUUCGGAUCGUAAAGUUCUGUUGAAGGGGAAAAAGAGCGGAGAGAGGAAAUGGUCUCCGAUUGAUAUUACCCUUCGAGGAAGUCGCGGCUAACUACGUGCCAGCAGCCGCGGUAAUACGUAGGUGGCGAGCGUUAUCCGGAAUGAUUGGGCGUAAAGGGUGGGUAGGCGGCCUGCUAAGUCGGGAGUGACAGGAAACGGCU